RNAcentral lists this long non-coding RNA (795 nucleotides) under Oryza brachyantha (malo sina). RNAcentral's name for it is "long non-coding RNA (OBRA_LNC003281)". The record is from RNAcentral. Lineage: Eukaryota; Viridiplantae; Streptophyta; Magnoliopsida; Poales; Poaceae.
GCACCGGGAAUAUGACAAUCACAUCUGAGCUUCAUCUGGCAAGUGACGGUUACUUUUGUGGUACAUGUACAUGAAAAGCACGAUCUCUGAACUCCAGAAUAACUAUAGGAUAUAGCUAGCAUCAUAGCACCAUAAAUUAUUCUUGUUUUGGUAACCACUUUUUUCCUAACACAAAAUUACCUUCUACUAGCAGUGAUGGAGACGAGGGACUGGACGUAACUAAUGAGCUUAUGAGUUGAGACUCGGUUUUCGGUGACGUUGAGUAGAUCACGAGGUUGAAGCCUGCAAUUUUAGAUGAUAGAUAGCAUGAGUUAGUUAAUGUGUUAUCUCUUCCGGUCGUUUUCUUUCUUGUUGUAUAUAUCAAGCUAGCAGCCUGGCUCAUACUCCAAACAUAUUGUAUGGCUACGCUGUGGGCUUUUUCUCAGCCUAUUAAUAUAUUGUGCGGCCCCUAACUAGGAUUAACGCUUCCUAUCUCUUUUUGAUGGAUACAUGGUGAUGAUGUCAGUAUUCUGGAGUGCAGGAAACAUGACAUUCUUGCAUGUAGGAGAUCAUAGUGAAGCAUCAGGUUCAGUGCUUCACAAGCACAUAGUGGUAGCAGAACACAUAUUAGCACAUACGUAGGAUUGGACAGCAUCCGGAAACCAAAGGAGCACAUCUUGACUCUUGAGUUGCUUGACCAUCCGGAUGAACAAGCAGUAGCAUUGAGGUGUUCAUGUUCGGAUGAACGCGCAUGCUGAAGAUAAUUUGUUAGGCAGGAAAUGGAGUCCAGCAAUGGCAUGGAGAUAAAUGAAAGAC